GGUCCUGUAGUGUAGUGGUUUAUCACUUGGGAUUUUGAACGUGUCGGUUGGGCAACGCACCCAGGUUGGCCGGCGGACAUGGAUCUUCCCAAGACCCAGGUUCGAACCCUGGCAGGACCU
This is a non-coding RNA of Trametes meyenii, 120 nucleotides long. The record is from the annotation of a GenBank genome assembly. NCBI's taxonomy places the organism in Eukaryota, Fungi, Basidiomycota, Agaricomycetes, Polyporales, Polyporaceae.